This 460-nucleotide ribosomal RNA is filed under the name uncultured bacterium. RNAcentral's name for it is "partial 16S ribosomal RNA". It matches the Rfam family "Bacterial small subunit ribosomal RNA", at positions 338 to 795 of the family's 1533-position model. The record is from RNAcentral.
CCUACGGGAGGCAGCAGUGAGGAAUAUUGGUCAAUGGGCGGGAGCCUGAACCAGCCAAGUCGCGUGAGGGAAGACGGUCCUAUGGAUUGUAAACCUCUUUAGGCGGGGAGCAAUGCCGGGCACGCGUGCCCGGAGGGAGAGUACCCGCAGAAUAAGCAUCGGCUAACUCCGUGCCAGCAGCCGCGGUAAUACGGAGGGUGCGAGCGUUAUCCGGAUUGAUUGGGUUUAAAGGGUGCGUAGGCGGAUUUUUAAGUCAGCGGUAAAAUGUCCGGGCUCAACCCGGGCCGGCCGUUGAAACUGGGGAUCUUGAGUGGGCGAGAAGUAUGCGGAAUGCGUGGUGUAGCGGUGAAAUGCAUAGAUAUCACGCAGAACUCCGAUUGCGAAGGUAGCAUACCGGCGCCCGACUGACGCUGAGGCACGAAAGCGUGGGGAUCGAACAGGAUUAGAUACCCUGGUAGUC